UACGUAGGGUGCAAGCGUUGUCCGGAAUUAUUGGGCGUAAAGAGCUCGUAGGCGGUUUGUCGCGUCUGCUGUGAAAAUCCAGGGCUUAACCCUGGACCUGCAGUGGGUACGGGCAGACUAGAGUGCGGUAGGGGAGAUCGGAAUUCCUGGUGUAGCGGUGAAAUGCGUAGAGAUCGGGAAGAACAUCGGUGGCGAAAGCGCUCUACUGGACCGCAACUGACACUCAGGGACGAAAGCUAGGGGAGCGAAUGGG
This 253-nucleotide ribosomal RNA is filed under the name uncultured bacterium. RNAcentral's name for it is "partial 16S ribosomal RNA". It matches the Rfam family "Bacterial small subunit ribosomal RNA", at positions 524 to 776 of the family's 1533-position model. The record is from RNAcentral.